AGCUCAGCAGGCAGAGCAACUGACUUGUAAUCAGUAGGUCACCAGUUCGAUUCCGGUAGUCGGCACCA
Molecule: transfer RNA, 68 nt
Filed under: Escherichia coli
Lineage: Bacteria; Pseudomonadati; Pseudomonadota; Gammaproteobacteria; Enterobacterales; Enterobacteriaceae
Also listed under: 2 other names
Description: tRNA-Thr
Rfam family: tRNA
About the family: Transfer RNA (tRNA) molecules are approximately 80 nucleotides in length. Their secondary structure includes four short double-helical elements and three loops (D, anti-codon, and T loops).
Source: RNAcentral